This 1525-nucleotide long non-coding RNA is filed under the name Homo sapiens (human). Its description in RNAcentral is "non-protein coding lnc-RBM11-1:3". Lineage: Eukaryota; Metazoa; Chordata; Mammalia; Primates; Hominidae. The record is from RNAcentral.
AUUCUGGGAAGCGGAGUUCCAGCCUUUCUCUUUCCGCGGGAGGGAAUGAAAGGGAGGGUGAGAACCGUUAGUUAUUUCUUUCUUUGGUCGUGCCCCUAAUCAGGUCCAGGAUUCGAGUUUGUGUUCUUUCGUUUUAAUUCCUUUUAAAGCGCGUUCGUUUGCCUGAGAUCUAGCUUCUAGAUGGCGUUCCUAUAGCCUCCCGGAGCCCCAGCCAUCCUCCGUAGAAGGGUCCCUGCCGCAGUGCGGGGCCUGAGGGAAGUCGGCUCUGGCGUCCGUGCUCCAACGCUGGGAGCAGCCCUGAAACUCCAGUGACCCUCAGCCGUCUGCCUUUGUUUUGGGAUAAAUGAAUUCAAGCAUUCUUCAGUCAAUUCGAUUUAUCCAAGGGAUCAGGGACACAUUUUCUCUAUUGCUAGCACUGACGUGGGCCAUUAAAAACAAAAACAAAAACGAAAUUAAAAAGAAAACCCUUAGCUCUCUCUUCAAGUAAGUCUUAAGUGGCCAAAAUUGACCUUAUGGGCAAGUCCUGUAACGUGACAGCCAUUUUAGGACGCUUGUGACAUGCUGUUCAGGUUCUAGUCUGAAGUAGGAUUUUUCUCGCAUCUUGGUCACUGGUAGCACUUAAUGACUCCUCUGAGAGUGGUUUUGUCAUUUUUGCUGUUAGAGUUCACGAUAACUAAGAUCCUGGAGAAUUGAAUCCAUUUUCUCAGCUUAGAUAUAAAUCAAACCAUCCCUGUUGACAACACGUCAGCCUGCUGUGGGAAUACAUUGCUGGUUAUUUCUGACUUAUCAAUGUGAAUUUUGAUUAUGGAAGCUGAAUUCUGGUUGAUAGGGAUCCAUUGUAAUGUUCUCUCUACUUUUGCGCAUUUUUAAGUAUUUCAUAAUGCGAAAUAUAAAAAGUGUGUGUCUAUAGUGAGUGCUGUUCAAUAAGAUUCUUAUAAGGAGUGAAGAAUUCAAGCACUUAGUUCUUAAGUAUUACUUGUAAUGGGCAGUGGGCUGGAGGUGUUCCAGGCAGACGGAACUCAAUUACCAAGAGCACAGAAGCAAGAGAUCAUCUAUUCCAUAGAUUAGAAAGUGGUGGAUCAUAAAGCAUGAGGUAGAAUUCUGAGAGACAGAACUAGAGACUUAAACCAGAUUAAGAUUAGCCGUCUGUGACAAGCACUGGUCAUUGGGAUUCUCCCUGCCACUCACUCCUUUCUCCUUGCUAACAAGAUCCUGAUUUGUUCAAGAAGCAGGUAAAGAUUAUGUGAUCUCAGAGUAGAAGGCCUUUAGAAUUAAGAUUGAACUAAAUAGGUUGUAUUCAUUUUCUAUUUCUGCCUUAACAAAUUACCACAAAUUUAGUGUCUUAAACCAACUCAAAUCUAUUAUUUUUACAGUUCGGUAUAUCAGAAAUUUGGUAUGGGUCUCACUUAACUAAAAGCAAGUUAUUAGCAAAGCUGCAUUCCUUUCUGGAUGUUCUAGGGGAGAAUCAGUUUCCUGCUAAUUUGAGUUAUUGGCAGAAUUCAUUUUCUUGCAGUUGUAGGGUUCA